UUCUCAUUAGUUUAUAACACUUAAUUCGCGAGCACAAUUUCUUGACAUAUUUACCGCACUUUAGACACCAUCUUUCAACCACUUGACAACACUUUGUUACAUUCAUGAAUCACAGUUAUAUUUUUAUUACACUAAUACUAGUUAAACACUUAGAUAUCAUGCCUAUAGGUCAAUGACACAAAAAAUAAACAAUUAUUUGUCUUUGCAUAUCAAUCACAUUAACAAACGUUAAUUAACUAAGAGGCUAACUUGGGACAAUUAUGUGCUACGUGAUGUCCUACUUGUUACGCGCUUCGAGUCCUAGGCAACAUAGCUUUAUUUCGUAUAUAUCACAAAACCAAAAUAGCAAAGUCCAAUGCCUCUUGGACGACAGGUGGGACGGUAAGUAUGGCUAAAAAAUGUUAGUUUUAUCCUUGUCCUAGAACGCCUUUAGACUUGACAUCCAGCCUAGGUGGGGUGGGACGGAUAAUCAUUCGGAAGUGAUAAUCCCAACAGAUAUUAACGGUAAGACUAAUGACAUUGUAACUUGUCUAAGAGUUCGGCCGGUGGGUCAAAUGAUGAUUAAACAAGUUGGGGUUCUGAUCCGAAUGAGACCAAAAACAUUUCUUUGUUUGAUUUGACAAAUUCUUUUAUUCUUUUAUUUACUCUGCA
RNAcentral lists this long non-coding RNA (651 nucleotides) under Capsicum annuum. RNAcentral's name for it is "long non-coding RNA (CANN_LNC002260)". Lineage: Eukaryota; Viridiplantae; Streptophyta; Magnoliopsida; Solanales; Solanaceae. The record is from RNAcentral.